RNAcentral lists this ribosomal RNA (353 nucleotides) under uncultured bacterium. RNAcentral describes it as "bacterial SSU rRNA". It matches the Rfam family "Bacterial small subunit ribosomal RNA", at positions 8 to 350 of the family's 1533-position model. The record is from RNAcentral.
AGAGUUUGAUCAUGGCUCAGGAUGAACGCUAGCUACAGGCUUAACACAUGCAAGUCGAGGGGAAACGACAUCGAAAGCUUGCUUUUGAUGGGCGUCGACCGGCGCACGGGUGAGUAACGCGUAUCCAACCUGCCCAUCACUUGGGGAUAACCUUGCGAAAGUAAGACUAAUACCCAAUGAUAUCUCUAGAAGGCAUCUGAAAGAGAUUAAAGAUUUAUCGGUGAUGGAUGGGGAUGCGUCUGAUUAGCUUGUUGGCGGGGUAACGGCCACCAAGGCGACGAUCAGUAGGGGUUCUGGAGAGGAAGGUCCCCCANAUUGGAACUGAGACACGGUCCAAACUCCUACGGGAGGCA